RNAcentral lists this unclassified non-coding RNA (263 nucleotides) under Hevea brasiliensis (rubber tree). Lineage: Eukaryota; Viridiplantae; Streptophyta; Magnoliopsida; Malpighiales; Euphorbiaceae. The record is from RNAcentral.
AGAGGAAUGAUAUGUUUAGCAAGCAGCUUAUUCAUCUUGAACAUGUCAGUGCAGUCUGUCUCAAAAACCACUCGUAGGGCAUCAUCACAAAUUAUCUUUCUCUUAUUGCUUGGAUCUUGGAGGUUGUUUUUCCUUAUGUAUGCCCACAAUUGCUUCACAAUCUCAGUCCUUGGCAAGGCUGGCUCACCAACAACGGCCUGAAGUUCAGGUGAAACGCCACAAACUUUGUUUAACCCACCUGGGCCACCUCUUCUUUUGGCCCC